UCUACCCCUAGAGUUGUUGUAGUUAUAGCUGCUGUGUCACAUGUGCAUCGGUAGGUUGCAGGGUUGAGAGGAUCAGUUGUCUAGGCUCAGUGUUGUGACCUAUGGACAUCUGAAUGAUUAGUGGAUUAACAAA
Grammomys surdaster is the source of this 133-nucleotide small nucleolar RNA. RefSeq annotates it as small nucleolar RNA SNORA17. NCBI's taxonomy places the organism in Eukaryota, Metazoa, Chordata, Mammalia, Rodentia, Muridae. The transcript has a single exon. The record is from RefSeq and is a predicted model, not a curated record.